This is a non-coding RNA of Pelobates cultripes (western spadefoot toad), 201 nucleotides long. The record is from the annotation of a GenBank genome assembly. Lineage: Eukaryota; Metazoa; Chordata; Amphibia; Anura; Pelobatidae.
CCUCACAAUAUAGUAUCUGACAGAGGUUCUCAGUUUGUGUCUCGGUUUUGGAUGGCCUUCAAUAAACAAUUAGGGAUUUAAUUGUCUUUUCAUCCUCUUACCACUCCCAGACCAAUGGUACAGCUGAGAGGGCUAGCCAGUCCUUGGAAUUAUAUUUGUGUUGUUAGUUAAUAGCACUCAAGACAAUUGGUCCGAAUUACU